Rhagoletis pomonella (apple maggot) is the source of this 661-nucleotide long non-coding RNA. RefSeq lists it as uncharacterized. The transcript is spliced from 3 exons. Lineage: Eukaryota; Metazoa; Arthropoda; Insecta; Diptera; Tephritidae. The record is from RefSeq and is a predicted model, not a curated record.
GCGCCAGCGCACAUAAGAGUGGCAGCACUUUAAACUUCCGCUCUUUAGCACAAUUAAAUAUCCUCCGUAUUUUACAAAAGUUAUAAAAUGCUUUGUAAUUUUAAUUUUAAAUGGUUUAUUGCUGCGUUCGCGUUGAUUUCUUAAUGCAAGUUCACUGAAAUCGUUUAUUUACUUAGUAGACACUACAUGCCAGCAGUGGCUGCUGUUGACCGUUUGUCAGACUGAUAUACAUAUAUAUAUUUUUUUUUAUCCUGCUUUCUUGAUAGGGAAAGAGCGACUGAUGUGACCAAACUAAGAGUGCUGCUUUAGUUUUAGCGUAUAUUUAUACCUUUCCGAUUCCUUCGUGUCAAGAUUUCCCGCCAUAUGGAAUUUACCUGCGCAAAUUUCCAAAAGAGGCAAAUGUGUUGCACAUCUGAUGCUUAGCAGACAAUGCACAAGUACUCAACAUUGAAGGCUAGAUUACGGCAAUUUAGCAGAUUACGCAGCGGUCAGCGCUCGGAAGGCGAUGGCAAACCCAGAGUAAAUUUCUGCCAUAAAAAAGCUUCUCAUAAAAUCAAUUUGCCAUUCGGAGGCGGCGUAAAACUGUAGAUCGGUCAAUUUGUAUAACAACAACAACAACAAGGCGCAUAACAAAAAAUGUGGGAAAAGCUCGGCAAAAUAA